UCUAGAAGCACCGUCUCUUUCCUCGAUGCAGGCCAUCCACUACCCCACCUCCCACACCAUGUCGCAGCUAUGGACCUCAGCUCUAGGGAUCCCUUCCGUCGCUCGGAGAUCGGCCCUGCCGGCGCUGCGACUCGGGGCAACGCGUGGAGAGCGGCCUGAAGUUACAUGGGCGACAGUGGUGGCCGUGGGUGGCGAAGUGCCGCUAUGGCCGGUGCCAGAGGGAGGUCCCUUCGUUCCCACCCUUUCGUGCUUGAGCCGACGCCAAAUCGAACCUCCUAAGAUGGGAUCCCUCUUGAGUAAGGCACAAACUGAUGUCAUCGCAUUCGACUGCCAGCCCCGUCUGCGACUGCAGUGUCGAGUCUGGCCACCGCGCUACAACGGCAGGUCGCGGCAGCUCGAUGAGACUACAAAGGCGACGACAUCUUCGAUUGGAUAGGCCAAGGUUCCCUGAGAGGGGAAGUGCAUAUUUUGUUGGGGCGGCCAUUUUGUUGGUUAAGGAUGUCUCACCCCAUAACUAUGAGUGGAAUAUUCUUGUGCGCAUUGCACGAGCUGGGAAUACAGAGAUUAACCGACGCCCCAGCUUUUCUAUGAACUAGACAUAUAUUCAUAGAUCACGAGGGCGAAGUGGUCAUGCCCUCGCACUUUUCGACGGUGCGAGACCAGCCGCACAGAGGAAGAUGAUCGGUUUCCACCGCCGCUGACCUGCUUCUAUUCUCAUGGGAAGCGACACCAUUGCUGCUUUUCACACUGUCGCCUCAUGCAGCCAGUGAUCCACCACCCCUAGCCGACUAGGUGUUCCGUGCAGGUGCCUAACUGCAAAGUCCCACUCAGACCCGCCAACUCUCUGAUUUGAUUGCAGCAUUUCCAGCGACAAGAAUCCUGAAAUAACGAUCUCAACAUCAAAAUUUUGUGUGAUAUUGAACAACGACUUUGAAGAAAAGGAUCCAUGAAAUAAAAGUGCAUACAUGUCAGAGGUGUCUAAUGGGAAGAAUUGCAUCAGAUGAAAGCUGCUUCUGUACCAGAGGUUAAUGGCGUGUUGGAUACUCAAAGAUUUGAGAAAUUCCAAUUCAGAUUAUUGAUCUUUGCAUGGCAGUUAUGUGUUUAUAAUUUUAUACCACCAUAAAAGCUUUUUUGUCCCAUGCAUUAAUUAUCUAUUUUAUCUUCAAAUUUUAGACCUCCAGUUCAGAUAAUGGUCUUUACAUGCCAUCUUCUUUAACUUCUCAAACAGGUAAUCUUACAGGGAAGAACCUCAAGUUUUAGAAAUAUGGAGGGAAGAUCACAUGUACGAGCAACGGUGAAUAUGACAAAGAUUUAAAGCAUCAUAGACAGUUGUGUUCCUCUGCUCGAUCAAGGAAAGAAGAGGGAGGUGUUGAUGCAUCUGAUCAAACAAUAAUGUCUGUACCAGGCACAAGUGAUACUUCAUGGGAAGUUUUGUAAGUUGGUCCCAUCAAUGAUCAAUCCAGUGAGUCGACUAAACCGCUUAUUCUGAGCCGUAAACAGGUUCUCAUGCUGGACUUCAUGAAUCACAUGAAUGUCCAAAUACUGAUGCACAUCAGACUGUUGCUGAUGAAGAAAAACCACCACCUCUGGUCAUCUAGCGAAGCACGCAGUUUAGUUCCUACAAGUGGUGAUGAGCCAGUUCUUUGUUUGUUUCUAUUUGUUCGCUUUUUCUAGGAUGUAUCGUCAGCUGUUACUUGGCUGUUCGAGGAAAAAAAGGUUGCUUUUCUCCAGAUCUCAGAAAUCAUGAAAUCGUAAAAGUUCUGUUAAGAAUUGGAUUAUUUAUUUGCAAAAAGUUGUUCUUUUGUUAGUUGUUAGUUAGAAAAUUUGACUUAACAAUUCAAGUUUCAUUGCAGUUUUACACAACUUCUCUUACAUAUAUACAUAACAUCAUAUUCUUGCAUGUCACAAUGUCCCACUUUCUGAAUUCUCACCUCUUGGGUUUUCUCUUUUUGGCAAAUCAUUAUCUUAAAUAGUCAGCUGCUAUACACAGAUUGUAUAUCAAUCUACCUAGGUAGUUCAUGCAUGGUCUUAUCAUUUCUUACCGAAUACAAUACUUGAAACUAGAGUUCACAGUACCUAUGUACUUCCUGAUAAGCCAACCGGUAAGAUAGUGCUAAUAUGGAUCCAUGUGUGUUUACUUUCUCGGCUCUUCUCCUCUCUCUCUCUCUCUCUCUCUUCUCUUCUCUUCUCUUCUCUCUCUCUCUCUCCCUCCUGUGUUUCCCCAGGCUUGCAUGGGAAUCCUUUCAUUGCUGCUGCUUUUACCUCCUUGAUUCAUGGUUUUGCUUUUUCUGUCAGUUUGCUUCGUAUGGGUAAUUCUGCACAUGCGCCCUCCCAAUGUCGGGGUUCUUGGUCUGUUGUCCCUUCAGUGGCUGGUGAUUUGGGUGGGUCGUCUUCGCCUACAUAUGGUUGCAUAUGGUUCUCAGGUUUCUGACCCCGCUCAUUCUUAUGCUCCUGCUGUGGUCGAUCUUGCCAUACCAGUUGAUCCGCUGCUUCACACUUUGUGCACUUUCUGCUUUUUCUGUACAUGUUUUAUUUUUAUUGGUUGUUUGCUGAUUCUUCUUUGUUUUUUGGUUUUAUUAUCUGCUACUCCUUUCACAACUUCUCACAGGCCUGUUGCAAAUCGUUGGCGGCAUUUUGAUGUGCGUCUACUUACUGCUUCUGUAGGGUUGUGCUUCCGGUUUAUUGAUUAUAGAAUCUGCAAUUUGCUGCAAUGGAAAGAGAAUAUCAGAAAGUUAAGAUCUAUGAUGUGAUACAACUACACUUUGGGACUAUGUACACCCAAAUAUACUAUGUUCUGGAUCUUUUGAGCUUAGCUAGAUAUAACCAU
This is a long non-coding RNA of Lolium rigidum, 2827 nucleotides long. RefSeq lists it as uncharacterized. The record is from RefSeq and is a predicted model, not a curated record. NCBI's taxonomy places the organism in Eukaryota, Viridiplantae, Streptophyta, Magnoliopsida, Poales, Poaceae. The transcript is spliced from 5 exons.